UACGUAGGGGGCAAGCGUUGUCCGGAAUCAUUGGGCGUAAAGCGCACGUAGGCGGCAUUGCAAGUCGGAUGUGAAAUCCCUCGGCUUAACCAAGGAAGUGCAUCCGAAACUGCAGUGCUUGAGUACUUAAGAGGAUCGCGGAAUUCCCGGUGUAGAGGUGAAAUUCGUAGAUAUCGGGAGGAACACCAGUGGCGAAGGCGGCGAUCUGGGAAGAUACUGACGCUGAGGUGCGAAAGCGUGGGGAGCAAACAGG
This 253-nucleotide ribosomal RNA is filed under the name uncultured bacterium. RNAcentral describes it as "partial 16S ribosomal RNA". It matches the Rfam family "Bacterial small subunit ribosomal RNA", at positions 524 to 776 of the family's 1533-position model. The record is from RNAcentral.